This 465-nucleotide ribosomal RNA is filed under the name uncultured bacterium. RNAcentral describes it as "partial 16S ribosomal RNA". It matches the Rfam family "Bacterial small subunit ribosomal RNA", at positions 338 to 795 of the family's 1533-position model. The record is from RNAcentral.
CCUACGUGAGGCAGCAGUGGGGAAUAUUGCGCAAUGGGCGAAAGCCUGACGCAGCGACGCCGCGUGAGGGAUGAAGGUCUUCGGAUCGUAAACCUCUGUCAGCAGGGAAGAACGGUCACUGUGCUAAUCAGCAGUGAAUUGACGGUACCUGCAAAGGAAGCACCGGCUAACUCCGUGCCAGCAGCCGCGGUAAUACGGAGGGUGCGAGCGUUAAUCGGAAUUACUGGGCGUAAAGCGCUCGUAGGCGGUAUGUCAAGUCAAGGGUGAAAUCCCCGCGCUCAACGUGGGAACUGCCUUUGAAACUGGCAAACUGGAGUGUGUGAGAGGAUAGUGGAAUUCCAGGUGUAGGAGUGAAAUCCGUAGAUAUCUGGAGGAACAUCAGUGGCGAAGGCGACUAUCUGGCACAUAAUUGACGCUGAGGAGCGAAAGCGUGGGUAGCAAACAGGAUUAGAUACCCCAGUAGUC